CCUACGGGAGGCAGCAGUAGGGAAUCUUUCACAAUGGGCGAAAGCCUGAUGGAGCAACGCCGCGUGCAGGAUGAAGGUCUUCGAGUUGUAAACUGCUUUUAUAAGCGAGAAAUAUGUUGGUAACUUAUGAAUAAGGAUCGGCGAACUACGUGUCAGCAGCCGCUGUCUUACGUAGGACCAGCGCAUUAUCAGGAGUGACUGGGUGUAAAGAGUUGCGUAGGUGGUAUAUUAAGUAGCUAGUGAAAUAUGGUGGCUCAACCAUUCGGACUGUUAGCGAAACUGUUAAGCUAGAGAGCGUUAGAGGUAAGUGGAAUUCCAAGUGUAGGGGUGAAAUGCGUAGAUAUUAGGAGGAACACCAAUAGCGUAGGCAGGUUACUGGGAC
This 382-nucleotide ribosomal RNA is filed under the name uncultured bacterium. RNAcentral's name for it is "partial 16S ribosomal RNA". It matches the Rfam family "Bacterial small subunit ribosomal RNA", at positions 338 to 735 of the family's 1533-position model. The record is from RNAcentral.